This 74-nucleotide transfer RNA is filed under the name Comamonadaceae bacterium CG12_big_fil_rev_8_21_14_0_65_59_15. RNAcentral's name for it is "tRNA-Ile". It matches the Rfam family "tRNA". Rfam says of the family: Transfer RNA (tRNA) molecules are approximately 80 nucleotides in length. Their secondary structure includes four short double-helical elements and three loops (D, anti-codon, and T loops). Further hydrogen bonds mediate the characteristic L-shaped molecular structure. tRNAs have two regions of fundamental functional importance: the anti-codon, which is responsible for specific mRNA codon recognition, and the 3' end, to which the tRNAs corresponding amino acid is attached (by aminoacyl-tRNA synthetases). tRNAs cope with the degeneracy of the genetic code in two manners: having more than one tRNA (with a specific anti-codon) for a particular amino acid; and 'wobble' base-pairing, i.e. permitting non-standard base-pairing at the 3rd anti-codon position. Lineage: Bacteria; Pseudomonadati; Pseudomonadota; Betaproteobacteria; Burkholderiales; Comamonadaceae. The record is from RNAcentral. RNAcentral also lists the same sequence under 3 other names.
GGGCUAUUAGCUCAGUUGGUUAGAGCGCACGCUUGAUAAGCGUGAGGUCCCUGGUUCGAGCCCAGGAUGGCCCA